AGUGAACGCUGGCGGUGGGCCUAACACAUGCCAGUCGAACGGCAGCACAGUAAGAGCUUGCUCUUACGGGUGGCGAGUGGCGGACGGGUGAGGAAUACAUCGGAAUCUACUUUUUCGUGGGGGAUAACGUAGGGAAACUUACGCUAAUACCGCAUACGACCUACGGGUGAAAGCAGGGGAUCUUCGGACCUUGCGCGAUUGAAUGAGCCGAUGUCGGAUUAGCUAGUUGGCGGGGUAAAGGCCCACCAAGGCGACGAUCCGUAGCUGGUCUGAGAGGAUGAUUAGCCACACUGGAACGGAGACACGGUCCAGACUCCUACGGGAGGCAGCAGUGGGGAAUAUUGGACAAUGGGCGCAAGCCUGAUCCAGCCAUACCGCGUGGGUGAAGAAGGCCUUCGGGUUGUAAAGCCCUUUUGUUGGGAAAGAAAAGCAGCAGGUUAAUACCCCGCUGUUCUGACGGUACCCAAAGAAUAAGCACCGGCUAACUUCGUG
Molecule: ribosomal RNA, 492 nt
Filed under: uncultured bacterium
Lineage: Bacteria
Description: partial 16S ribosomal RNA
Rfam family: Bacterial small subunit ribosomal RNA
Source: RNAcentral